Molecule: ribosomal RNA, 492 nt
Filed under: uncultured bacterium
Lineage: Bacteria
Description: partial 16S ribosomal RNA
Rfam family: Bacterial small subunit ribosomal RNA
Source: RNAcentral
AGUGAACGCUGGCGGUAGGCCUAACACAUGCAAGUCGAACGGCAGCACAGUAAGAGCUUGCUCUUACGGGUGGCGAGUGGCGGACGGGUGAGGAAUACAUCGGAAUCUACUUUUUCGUGGGGGAUAACGUAGGGAAACUUACGCUAAUACCGCAUACGACCUACGGGUGAAAGCAGGGGAUCUUCGGACCUUGCGCGAUUGAAUGAGCCGAUGUCGGAUUAGCUAGUUGGCGGGGUAAAGGCCCACCAAGGCGACGAUACGUAGCUGGUCUGAGAGGAUGAAGAGCCACACUAGAACUGAGAAACGGUCCAGACUCCUACGGGAGGCAGCAGUGGGGAAUAUUGGACAAUGGGCGCAAGCCUGAUCCAGCCAUACCGCGUGAGUGAAGAAGGCCUUCGGGUUGUAAAGCCCUUUUGUUGGGAAAGAAAAGCAGCAGGUUAAUACCCCGCUGUUCUGACGGUACCCAAAGAAUAAGCACCGGCUAACUUCGUG